This 426-nucleotide ribosomal RNA is filed under the name uncultured bacterium. Its description in RNAcentral is "bacterial SSU rRNA". It matches the Rfam family "Bacterial small subunit ribosomal RNA", at positions 917 to 1345 of the family's 1533-position model. The record is from RNAcentral.
GGGCCCGCACAAGCGGUGGAGCAUGUGGUUUAAUUCGAUGAUACGCGAGGAACCUUACCAGGACUUAAAUGUAAGUUGCAUGAUUCAGAAAUGAAUCUUUCUUCGGACUACUUACAAGGUGCUGCAUGGUUGUCGUCAGCUCGUGCCGUGAGGUGUCAGGUUAAGUCCUAUAACGAGCGCAACCCCUAUCGUUAGUUGCCAUCAAGUAAAGUUGGGAACUCUAGCGAAACUGCCGGUGCAAACCGUGAGGAAGGUGGGGAUGACGUCAAAUCAUCACGGCCCUUACGUUCUGGGCUACACACGUGCUACAAUGGACGGUACAAAGGGUCGCGAAGCCGCGAGGUGGAGCCAAUCCCAAAAAGCCGUUCUCAGUUCGGAUUGGAGUCUGCAACUCGACUCCAUGAAGUCGGAAUCGCUAGUAAUCGU